UAGAAUUCUCAGCUCUGCCUGGGCCAUGCCUGCCUGGAUGCUGCCACACUCCCACCUUGAUAAUAAUGGACUGAACCUCUGAACCUACCCCAAGGAGGAGAUGAGAUAGAGAUAAACUGAAUCAUCUUUUCUUGCUAUUAUGAAGACAAAAGUCACACCAAACAAGUCUGCUUGGGACCUACAAUGAAUCAUUCCUCAUAUG
Mus musculus (house mouse) is the source of this 202-nucleotide long non-coding RNA. RefSeq annotates it as predicted gene 15241. Lineage: Eukaryota; Metazoa; Chordata; Mammalia; Rodentia; Muridae. The record is from RefSeq and is a predicted model, not a curated record. The transcript is spliced from 3 exons.